GAUGAACGCUGGCGGCGUGCCUAAUACAUGCAAGUCGAGCGAACGGACGAGAAGCUUGCUUCUCUGAUGUUAGCGGCGGACGGGUGAGUAACACGUGGAUAACCUACCUAUAAGACUGGGAUAACUUCGGGAAACCGGAGCUAAUACCGGAUAAUAUUUUGAACCGCAUGGUUCAAAAGUGAAAGACGGUCUUGCUGUCACUUAUAGAUGGAUCCGCGCUGCAUUAGCUAGUUGGUAAGGUAACGGCUUACCAAGGCAACGAUGCAUAGCCGACCUGAGAGGGUGAUCGGCCACACUGGAACUGAGACACGGUCCAGACUCCUACGGGAGGCAGCAGUAGGGAAUCUUCCGCAAUGGGCGAAAGCCUGACGGAGCAACGCCGCGUGAGUGAUGAAGGUCUUCGGAUCGUAAAACUCUGUUAUUAGGGAAGAACAUAUGUGUAAGUAACUGUGCACAUCUUGACGGUACCUAAUCAGAAAGCCACGGCUAACUACGUGCCAGCAGCCGCGGUAAUACGUAGGUGGCAAGCGUUAUCCGGAAUUAUUGGGCGUAAAGCGCGCGUAGGCGGUUUUUUAAGUCUGAUGUGAAAGCCCACGGCUCAACCGUGGAGGGUCAUUGGAAACUGGAAAACUUGAGUGCAGAAGAGGAAAGUGGAAUUCCAUGUGUAGCGGUGAAAUGCGCAGAGAUAUGGAGGAACACCAGUGGCGAAGGCGACUUUCUGGUCUGUAACUGACGCUGAUGUGCGAAAGCGUGGGGAUCAAACAGGAUUAGAUACCCUGGUAGUCCACGCCGUAAACGAUGAGUGCUAAGUGUUAGGGGGUUUCCGCCCCUUAGUGCUGCAGCUAACGCAUUAAGCACUCCGCCUGGGGAGUACGACCGCAAGGUUGAAACUCAAAGGAAUUGACGGGGACCCGCACAAGCGGUGGGGCAUGUGGUUUAAUUCGAAGCAACGCGAAGAACCUUACCAAAUCUUGACAUCCUUUGACAACUCUAGAGAUAGAGCCUUCCCCUUCGGGGGACAAAGUGACAGGUGGUGCAUGGUUGUCGUCAGCUCGUGUCGUGAGAUGUUGGGUUAAGUCCCGCAACGAGCGCAACCCUUAAGCUUAGUUGCCAUCAUUAAGUUGGGCACUCUAAGUUGACUGCCGGUGACAAACCGGAGGAAGGUGGGGAUGACGUCAAAUCAUCAUGCCCCUUAUGAUUUGGGCUACACACGUGCUACAAUGGACAAUACAAAGGGCAGCGAAACCGCGAGGUCAAGCAAAUCCCAUAAAGUUGUUCUCAGUUCGGAUUGUAGUCUGCAACUCGACUACAUGAAGCUGGAAUCACUAGUAAUCGUAGAUCAGCAUGCUACGGUGAAUACGUUCCCGGGUCU
RNAcentral lists this ribosomal RNA (1372 nucleotides) under uncultured bacterium. RNAcentral's name for it is "bacterial SSU rRNA". It matches the Rfam family "Bacterial small subunit ribosomal RNA", at positions 28 to 1381 of the family's 1533-position model. The record is from RNAcentral.